This 442-nucleotide ribosomal RNA is filed under the name uncultured bacterium. Its description in RNAcentral is "partial 16S ribosomal RNA". It matches the Rfam family "Bacterial small subunit ribosomal RNA", at positions 338 to 795 of the family's 1533-position model. The record is from RNAcentral.
CCUACGGGAGACUGCAGUGGGGGAUAUUGCACAAUGGGGGAAACCCUGAUGCAGCGACGCCGCGUGGGCGAAGAAGUAUUUCGGUAUGUAAAGCCCUAUCAGCAGGGAAGAAGAAAUGACUGUACCUGAGUAAGAAGCCCCGGCUAAAUACGUGCCAGCAGCCGCGGUAAUACGUAUGGUGCAAGCGUUAUCCGGAUUUACUGGGGGUAAAGGGAGCGCAGGCGGCACGGCAAGCCUGAUGUGAAAGCCCGCGGCCCAACCGCGGGACUGCAUUGGGAACUACCGGGCUGGAGUGCCGGAGAGGUAGGCGGAAUUCCUAGUGUAGCGGUGAAAUGCGUAUAUAUUAGGAGGAACACCAGUGGCGAAGGCGGCCUACUGGACGGUGACUGACGCUGAGGCUCGAAAGCGUGGGGAGCAAACAGGAUUAGAUACCCUUGUAGUC